UCAGAGCCGUAAAGAGUUACGACACUCCAAGACUCCUAUGGAAUGGGGAAGUCACGUGGUUCACGUAGUGUCGAAUAGUUCCAAACAGCCCCGCUGCUGCAUUGACUGCAGUUCAUUUCAACUAUUCGGUGUUUCGGAAGGAUUUUCUCCGAACAAGGCUAUCCCAGCAUGCUUUGCGCGCCGGCUGUGGAUUUUCAACAGGCAGAGAAAGGGGAGAGCUAUGAAGUUUUAAACGACUGCAGGUGUCCAGGGUCAGGAGAGGCUUUACCUGUCCUGGGAGAGAGGCCUUCUACUGUCAUCAUGUUAUUGUUAUUUAGCAGUAGGGUUGUCACGGUAUGAAAAUUUAACCUCACGGUUAUUGUGACCAAAAUUAUCACGGUUUUCGGUAUUAUCGCGGUAUUUUUUAAACGGUGUUGCAUAUGUUCAGAAAGCAUUGAUAGUCCUGUUCUACACAAACUG
Nothobranchius furzeri (turquoise killifish) is the source of this 459-nucleotide non-coding RNA. Lineage: Eukaryota; Metazoa; Chordata; Actinopteri; Cyprinodontiformes; Nothobranchiidae. The record is from RefSeq and is a predicted model, not a curated record.